This 85-nucleotide small nucleolar RNA is filed under the name Carassius auratus (goldfish). RNAcentral's name for it is "Small nucleolar RNA SNORD60 (ENSCARG00000041522.1)". It matches the Rfam family "Small nucleolar RNA SNORD60". From Rfam's summary of the family: U60 belongs to the C/D class of snoRNA which contain the C (UGAUGA) and D (CUGA) box motifs. Most of the members of the box C/D family function in directing site-specific 2'-O-methylation of substrate RNAs. Lineage: Eukaryota; Metazoa; Chordata; Actinopteri; Cypriniformes; Cyprinidae. The record is from Rfam by way of RNAcentral.
AGCCGCUGAUGACUCCUAACACUUUUCUGACACCUCGUAUGAACGCUGUUUCUAGCAGCUGAUUAUAAAAUCUAGUCUGAGGCUC